Molecule: small nucleolar RNA, 136 nt
Organism: Grammomys surdaster
Lineage: Eukaryota; Metazoa; Chordata; Mammalia; Rodentia; Muridae
Product: small nucleolar RNA SNORA17
Exons: 1
Source: RefSeq, a predicted model, not a curated record
CCUACUCCUAGAAGUUUUGCACGUGUGACUGAUGUGUCUCAAGUGUACCAGUGGGAAGUAGAGAGGACAGAGGCUAUAUCUAUGCUCAGUGUUCUGACUGAAUGAUGUUCAUCUGAAUGAUUAGCAUUCCCUGAUA